UGGGGAAUAUUGGACAAUGGAGGUAACUCUGAUCCAGCAAUUCUGUGUGCACGAAGAAGGUUUUCGGAUUGUAAAGUGCUUUCAGUAGGGAAGAAGAAAGUGACGGUACCUACAGAAGAAGCGACGGCUAAAUACGUGCCAGCAGCCGCGGUAAUACGUAUGUCGCAAGCGUUAUCCGGAAUUAUUGGGCUUAAAGGGCAUCUAGGCGGUUUUUCAAGUCAGGGGUGAAAACUUAUGGCUCAACUAUAAGCUUGCCUUUGAAACUGAAAGACUAGAGUACUGGAAAGGUGGGUGGAACUACACGAGUAGAGGUGAAAUUCGUAGAUAUGUGUAGGAAUGCCGAUGAUGAAGAUAACUCACUGGACAGAAACUGACGCUGAAGUGCGAAAGCUAGGGGAGCAAACAGGAUUAGAUACCCUGGUAGUCCUAGCUGUAAACGAUGAUCACUGGGUGUGGGGAUGAGUAGUCUCUGUGCCGAAGCAAAAGCGAUAAGUGAUCCGCCUGGGGAGUACGUACGCAAGUAUG
RNAcentral lists this ribosomal RNA (525 nucleotides) under uncultured bacterium. RNAcentral describes it as "bacterial SSU rRNA". It matches the Rfam family "Bacterial small subunit ribosomal RNA", at positions 355 to 896 of the family's 1533-position model. The record is from RNAcentral.